RNAcentral lists this long non-coding RNA (245 nucleotides) under Durio zibethinus. RNAcentral describes it as "long non-coding RNA (DZIB_LNC000895)". The record is from RNAcentral. Lineage: Eukaryota; Viridiplantae; Streptophyta; Magnoliopsida; Malvales; Malvaceae.
UGAAAUUAAGACACAAAAAGGGUGUUUGUCUAAUCAUUUUGAUUGUUUAACUUUUUGUAUUAUUUUUAUCAUAUGUAACAUUAUGCAUCAGCAUCACUUUCAUUUCAUCCAUGGAACUAACUAUGUUGUUUGUCUGAUUGUAUGCAUCUGCAUUAUUUUUAUGAUCAUGUUUUAACACAAUCAUUUGCAUUCAUUUCAUACUAGAUUUCAUUCAGAAAAAUGUACAUUUCAUUUGUGUAUCAAAG